AUGGUGGUAAGGUUUUUGGCCCCAUUUUCACGGCCACCAACUCCUGUAGGUCGCCUAGGGCUCCACCCACUCGAUGUCUUUCGCUGGAGCAUGCUCUUCGGUGAGUGCCGGAGGUUCAGAGUGCCGGAGUUCGACUCCGACGACACCAUCCGGUCGGCAGUGGAGCUCUACCAAGCUGGGAUCCGGUUCAAAACGAGCAAUUCGAGCAGUCUACACAACAUCCGUUUCAGGCGCGGCGUCCUCAGCAUGCCCAAGUUGCCAGUGGACGACUCCACCGAGUACACUCUCUUCAACAUGGUGGCGUUCGAGCGGCUGCACGUCGGCACCGGGAGCGCCAUCAUGGCCUACGUCUUCUUCGUGGACUGCAUCAUCCAAUCGCCCAAGGACGUGGCGCUGCUGACCUCAAAGGGGAUCAUCCGGAAUUCCCUUGGCAGCGAAGAGGCCGUGGCCAUGCUGUUCCACAGCCUUGCGAGGGACGUGGUGCUCGAUCCGGACGGCGCGCUCAGCGCCCUGCUGCGGGAGCUCAACGGCUACUCCAGUCUGCCGUGGGAAAUGUGGUUCACUAACCUCAAAAGGACCUACUUCGGGAGCCCGUGGGCGUUUAUGUCCCUCUUAGCCGCCGCCUUCCUCCUCCUCAUGACCGUCCUGCAGACCGUCUACACCAUGCGGCAGUUCUAUCGGGACGGCUAA
Molecule: ribosomal RNA, 690 nt
Filed under: Triticum aestivum (bread wheat)
Lineage: Eukaryota; Viridiplantae; Streptophyta; Magnoliopsida; Poales; Poaceae
Description: partial small subunit ribosomal RNA
Source: RNAcentral